UAAAUAUUGAAUACAUCUAUUCCAUCCACACAUCAACCAUAAACACGUGCACUAGGGGAAUCGGGGUUAUGAAUGGGAUCUGGACCUGAUGGGUUUUCUGAUAAAAUACGGCCAACAUUACCAGGUUGCAAUGAAUGAUGGUGGCUUCGACCAUGACCUCCUAUGAUUUCUUUGGUGUUGUAAUAAAUAUUAUCAGCCAAGACUCUCGAGCCUUGUCUUCCAAAUUUAUCAACUUUCCAGGUAGCACGAAAUCAUGAUUUGCUCUUAGUGUUACUGAGGGAAAGCCAGUUGCACUUGAUUUCCCAUCAUUAAUUAACAAUACCAAUGAGCAACAUUGAUCAAGAGAAGGUAGGAAAGAAUGUUUGGCACCAUUAUCAUUUGUAGCAUGUUAUUCGAAUAUGGUGCUAACUUUGAAAUAUAAUUUAAGUUAGACAUACAGUGGAUGUAUAUAUACAUAUACUAGUAACUAGUAGAAUAUUGUUUUACCUAACACAACCUUUUAAAAAGUUGUCUCCAUAUGAACAAUUAUUCAUUUUAGUCAAAAAAAAUGAAUUUUAUAAAAAUAAAGAUAGCAAAAUAAACAUAUACUUCAUAUUUUUUGUUUUAAUAAAAUCAUUAAAUAAUUAUUGUUUCUUGACAAUAAUUAUACCAUCCAAAAUGAUAAAUUUUAUGAAAAUUAGUAAGGUAUACUAUUGAACCGAAUUUCUAUUAGACCUCCGUGUAAAAUGUGUUGGAAUAUACUAUAUUUAAAUAUUAUUUAAUUCUUUCAUUCUACUAAUUAUUAUGUGGUCAUACUUUUAAAUUAAUUAUUAUGAUUAAGUGAUCAAAUAAAGACAAAAAAAUAAUUAAGAUUAUAUUUUGAAAAUUAAUUAAUUAAUUAUUUAGUUUGAUAUGGAGUCAAAUAUGAGUAUAUCAAUAUUGUCCAUUUUUGAAUAACGUGAAUCCUAACUGAUCAUCACUAUAUAUGUAAGUUAUGGUCCCUAGUAUAUAGUGCUACAAGCGUAUUAUCUUAUUCUCUCUAUCUAAAGAGUGUUGAAGACAUUAUAAGUACCCGUUGAGGGAGAUUCCACCAAAUACUACAAAAUGUAGAUUUCAUAUUUAUCUUAUAAGUAUGUGGAAGCAAUACUUGAAUUUUUUGAAUUCACGGAAAAAAACACUUCCAACAACAAUGGAAUCUUUUAUGGUCCUUAUGUUAUAUGUUGGAAUGUAUUCUUUUUAAAAGAAAGUAAUUUUCAAUCACCUAGGUUGUGAAAAAUUUAUUCUAAAUUAUACAACAUGGAUGUGACAGGCUGAAGUAGAUGAAUUCCAAACUAUGAAGUCACAUAGAUACAAAGUUAAUGUAGAUAUGGAUGAUAGACUAUAAGAUAUGACCAGUGAAAUUGGAGAAUCUUCUUUUCGGAAAGCCCAUAUGUGUGAUACUUUAUUUAGUGAGAAGGAUUAGUUUUUAUUUAAGAGGUUCACAAAUUUUACAUGUAUAUCGACUAUUUUUUAAUAUUUUUGAUUUGAAGGAAAAAAAGAUGAUGGACAGAUAAAAAUUUAAAAUAUAAUUUCUUGAAUUGCUGAAAGAGAUGCUUCUAGAAGGUAGAAAUUUGUCCAAACCACAGUUUUGAAGCCAAGAAUCUAUUGUGUCCACUUGUUUGGAUUAUGUCAAAAAAUAUGCAUGUUGUAAUUAUUGCAAUUAGAGAGGAAAUAUUAUCAAAAACUUAACCAAUGCCCAAAAUGUGGGGAGUCGUGCUACAAGGAUAAUGACAUCAGUGGUGAUGAAGAUGACGAUGUAAGCAAGAAGCACCCUUUAGCCAAAGUGUCAUGUUCCGGUCAAUAUUAAUUCCAAGGCCCUAGAGAAUGUUUUGUGAUAUUAAGAAAGUGUGAUAGAAAACAUCGCCAGGUAGGAUAUUCUUUAAGGUGGAAGAAAAUUCAGUAAUUGUAUCUAUAUUUUUUCCAUGCUCCAAUUUACAUAAUGGUUGGAUUUGGAAUUGAUUGAAUGAACCCCUUUGAUAAUCUAUGCACUUAUCAAUACAUUUUUGAAAAAGAACUAUAACUUUGUAAAGUAUUUUUGUACUUGCAAAAUAUAGAUAUUAUUAUAGAUAUUCCAAACCGAUGCAACGAGAAAUAAAAAGGCUAAUAGUUGAGAAAUAUAAAUAGAGAUAACUCAUGAACUCUAUAACUUGAGUUUAUAACAUUUAAUUAUUAACAUUGAACUAGUACAUCAAGUGUAUACAGAAUCUCACAAUUUAUUUUAUAAAUAUUGAAUACAUCUAUUCCAUCCACACAUCAACCAUAAACACGUGCACUAGGGGAAUCGGGGUUAUGAAUGGGAUCUGGACCUGAUGGGAUUUCUGAUAAAAUACGACCAACAUUACCAGGUUGCAAUGAAUGAUGGUGGCUUCGACCAUGACCUCCUAUGAUUUCUUUUGUGUUGUAAUAAAUAUUAUCAGCCAAGACUCUCGAGCCUUGUCUUCCAAAUUUAUCAACUUUUUCAGGUAGCACGAAAUCACCAUUUGCUCUUAGUGUUACUGAGGGAAAGCCAGUUGCACUUGAUUUCCCAUCAUUAAUUAACAAUACCAAUGAGCAACAUUGAUCAAGAGAAGGUAGGAAAGAAUUUUUUGCACCAUUAUCAUUUGUAGCAUGUUAUUCGAAUAUGGUGCUAACUUUGAAAUAUAAUUUAAGUUAGACAUACAGUGGAUGUAUAUAUACAUAUACUAGUAACUAGUAGAAUAUUGUUUCACCUAACACAACCUUUUAAAAAGUUGUCUCCAUAUGAACAUUUAUUCAUUUUAGUCAAAAAAAAUGAAUUUUAUAAAAAUAAAGAUAGAAAAUAAACAUAUAUUUCAUAUUUUUUGUUUUAAUAAAAUCAUUAAAUAAUUAUUGUUUCUUGACAAUAAUUAUACCAUCCAAAAUGAUAAAUUUUAUGAAAAUUAGUAAGGUAUACUAUUGAACCGAAUUUCUAUUAGACCUCCGUGUAAAAUGUGUUGGAAUAUACUAUAUUUAAAUAUUAUUUAAUUCUUUCAUUCUACUAAUUAUUAUGUGGUCAUACUUUUAAAUUAAUUAUUAUGAUUAAGUGAUCAAAUAAAGACAAAAAAAUAAUUAAGAUUAUAUUUUGAAAAUUAAUUAAUUAAUUAUUUAGUUUGAUAUGGAGUCAAAUAUGAGUAUAUCAAUAUUGUCCAUUUUUGAAUAACGUGAAUCCUAACUGAUCAUCACUAUAUAUGUAAGUUAUGGUCCCUAGUAUAUAGUGCUACAAGCGUAUUAUCUUAUUCUCUCUAUCUAAAGAGUGUUGAAGACAUUAUAAGUACCCGUUGAGGGAGAUUCCACCAAAUACUACAAAAUGUAGAUUUCAUAUUUAUCUUAUAAGUAUGUGGAAGCAAUACUUGAAUUUCUUGAAUUCACGGAAAAAAACACUUCCAACAACAAUGGAAUCUUUUAUGGUCCUUAUGUUAUAUGUUGGAAUGUAUUCUUUUUAAAAGAAAGUAAUUUUCAAUCACCUAGGUUGUGAAAAAUUUAUUCUAAAUUAUACAACAUGGAUGUGACAGGCUGAAGUAGAUGAAUUCCAAACUAUGAAGUCACAUAGAUACAAAGUUAAUGUAGAUAUGGAUGAUAGACUAUAAGAUAUGACCAGUGAAAUUGGAGAAUCUUCUUUUCGGAAAGCCCAUAUGUGUGAUACUUUAUUUAGUGAGAAGGAUUAGUUUUUAUUUAAGAGGUUCACAAAUUUUACAUGUAUAUCGACUAUUUUUUAAUAUUUUUGAUUUGAAGGAAAAAAAGAUGAUGGACAGAUAAAAAUUUAAAAUAUAAUUUCUUGAAUUGCUGAAAGAGAUGCUUCUAGAAGGUAGAAAUUUGUCCAAACCACAGUUUUGAAGCCAAGAAUCUAUUGUGUCCAAUUGUUUGGAUUAUGUCAAAAAAUAUGCAUGUUGUAAUUAUUGCAAUUAGAGAGGAAAUAUUAUCAAAAAUUUAACCAAUGCCCAAAAUAAGGGGAGUCGUGCUACAAGUAUAAUGACAACAGUGGUGAUGAAGAUGACGAUGUAAGCAAGAAGCACCCUUUAGCCAAAGUGUCAUGUUCUUGUCAAUAUUAAUUCCAAGGCCCUAGAGAAUGUUUUGUGAUAUUAAGAAAGUGUGAUAGAAAACAUCGCCAGGUUGGAUAUUCUUUAAGGUGGAAGAAAAUUCAAUAAUUGUAUUUAUAUUUUUUCCAUGCUCCAAUUUACAUAAUGGUUGGAUUUGGAAUUGAUUGAAUGAACCCCUUGAUAAUCUAUGCACUUAUCAAUACAUUUUUGAAAAAGAACUAUAACUUUGUAAGGUAUUUUUGUACUUGCAAAAUAUAGAUAUUAUUAUAGAUAUUCCAAACCGAUGCAACGAGAAAUAAAAAGGCUAAUAGUUGAGAAAUAUAAAUACAGAUAACUCAUGAACUCUAUAACUUGAGUUUAUAACAUUUAAUUAUUAACAUUGAACUAGUACAUCAAGUGUAUACAGAAUCUCACAAUUUAUUUUAUAAAUAUUGAAUACAUCUAUUCCAUCCACACAUCAACCAUAAACACGUGCACUAGGGGAAUCGGGGUUAUGAAUGGGAUCUGGACCUGAUGGGAUUUCUGAUAAAAUACAACCAACAUUACCAGGUUGCAAUGAAUGAUGGUGGCUUCGACCAUGACCUCCUAUGAUUUCUUUGGUGUUGUAAUAAAUAUUAUCAGCCAAGACUCUCGAGCCUUGUCUUCCAAAUUUAUCAACUUUUUCAGGUAGCACGAAAUCACCAUUUGCUCUUAGUGUUACUGAGGGAAAGCCAGUUGCACUUGAUUUCCCAUCAUUAA
Molecule: long non-coding RNA, 4790 nt
Filed under: Lathyrus oleraceus (garden pea)
Lineage: Eukaryota; Viridiplantae; Streptophyta; Magnoliopsida; Fabales; Fabaceae
Description: Pisum sativum (pea) long non-coding RNA (PSAT_LNC041482)
Source: RNAcentral